Molecule: ribosomal RNA, 645 nt
Filed under: Maladera sp. 836966
Lineage: Eukaryota; Metazoa; Arthropoda; Insecta; Coleoptera; Scarabaeidae
Also listed under: 1 other name
Description: eukaryotic LSU rRNA
Rfam family: Eukaryotic large subunit ribosomal RNA
Source: RNAcentral
GGACCAAGGAGUCUAGCAUGUGCGCGAGUCAUUGGGAUUUUUACUAAACCUAAAGGCGCAAUGAAAGUGAAGGUCCGCCUUGCGCGGACCGAGGGAGGAUGGACCGUUCCGAGGAACGACCUCGCACUCCCGGGGCGUCUCGCUCUCAUCGCGAGAAGAGGCGCACCCAGAGCGUACACGCUGGGACCCGAAAGAUGGUGAACUAUGCCUGGUCAGGACGAAGUCAGGGGAAACCCUGAUGGAGGUCCGUAGCGAUUCUGACGUGCAAAUCGAUCGUCGGAACUGGGUAUAGGGGCGAAAGACUAAUCGAACCAUCUAGUAGCUGGUUCCCUCCGAAGUUUCCCUCAGGAUAGCUGGCGCUCGCUUCUCGCGAGUCUCAUUCGGUAAAGCGAAUGAUUAGAGGCAUUGGGGUCGAAACGGCCUCAACCUAUUCUCAAACUUUAAAUGGGUGAGAUCUCCGGCUUGCUUGAACUGUGAAGCCGCGAGAUAUCGGAUCAGAGUGCCAAGUGGGCCACUUUUGGUAAGCAGAACUGGCGCUGUGGGAUGAACCAAACGCAGAGUUAAAGCGCCUAAAUCGACGCUUAUGGGAUACCAUGAAAGGCGUUGGUAACUUAAGACAGCAGGACGGUGGCCAUGGAAGUCGGA